Molecule: ribosomal RNA, 465 nt
Filed under: uncultured bacterium
Lineage: Bacteria
Description: partial 16S ribosomal RNA
Rfam family: Bacterial small subunit ribosomal RNA
Source: RNAcentral
GAUGAACGCUGGCGGCGUGCUUAACACAUGCAAGUCGAACGGAAAGGCUCCUGCUUGCAGGGGUACUCGAGUGGCGAACGGGUGAGUAACACGUGGGUGAUCCGCCCUGCACUUCGGGAUAAGCCUGGGAAACUGGGUCUAAUACCGGAUAGGACCACAUUUUGGAUGGUGUGGUGGAAAGUUUUUCGGUGUGGGAUGAGCUCGCGGCCUAUCAGCUUGUUGGUGGGGUAAUGGCCUACCAAGGCGUCGACGGGUAGCCGGCCUGAGAGGGUGUACGGCCACAUUGGGACUGAGAUACGGCCCAGACUCCUACGGGAGGCAGCAGUGGGGAAUAUUGCACAAUGGGCGCAAGCCUGAUGCAGCGACGCCGCGUGGGGGAUGACGGCCUUCGGGUUGUAAACUCCUUUCGCUAGGGACGAAGCGCAAGUGACGGUACCUGGAGAAGAAGCACCGGCUAACUACGUG